This 494-nucleotide ribosomal RNA is filed under the name uncultured bacterium. RNAcentral describes it as "bacterial SSU rRNA". It matches the Rfam family "Bacterial small subunit ribosomal RNA", at positions 28 to 534 of the family's 1533-position model. The record is from RNAcentral.
GAUGAACGCUAGCGGCAGGCUUAAUACAUGCAAGUCAAGGGGGUAGCAAUACAACCGGCGCACGGGUGAGUAACACGUACACAACAUACCAUAUACUGAGGUAUAGCUUCGGGAAACUGAAGGUAAUCCCUCAUAGUAUUGUGAAAGGGCAUCUUUUUACAAUUAAAGUUUCGACGGUAUAUGAUUGGUGUGCGUUUGAUUAGCUAGUUGGUAGGGUAACGGCCUACCAAGGCAACGAUCAAUAGCUGGCGUGAGAGCGCGACCAGCCACACUGGAACUGAGACACGGUCCAGACUCCUACGGGAGGCAGCAGUAGGGAAUAUUGGACAAUGGGCGAAAGCCUGAUCCAGCCAUGCCGCGUGAUAGAUGAAGGCCCUCUGGGUUGUAAAUAUCUUUUAUCUGGGAAGAAACACUUCUAUUCUUAGAAGCUUGACGGUACCAGAGGAAUAAGCACCGGCUAACUCCGUGCCAGCAGCCGCGGUAAAGUAGUCGUG